GCUACUUGAUUGAUUUCACGGGCGCGGGCUCUGCACUCACUCAUUCCCCAGACCUGAGACUCACAGAAGCUCUUGGCCUUCUUCAGUGCAUCCUGAACUUUGGAAUAGAGCGCCAGGGCUGCUGGGGGCUUCUGGCUUCAGACCCCUUGGUCUGCGCUGUUCAAGGCCAGAGUCUUAGUAAGAAACACCUGGCCAGGGUGAGGAUCUCAGGUAACAAUCAGAAUCAUUCAGGGAACCAUCCAGAAAAGGGGAGCUAUGGCUCAGCUGCGAGACACCCCCCAGAGGUCUCACUGCAAAGGUGAGGUGUGGCCAGAAGGGGCCGGGCUGGGGAUAGGACCCGGAAGGGUGUCUUCUCCGCCCUAGCCCUUUCCUUCUCGCUCUGCUUCUCGCUGGCUGCCACCUUCCUUCCACCAUGUGUUUCUGCCCUAAAGUCUGCCACCUCUGGACUGAAUCCACUGGAAAUUGGGCAGCUUAUAAACAGGCAUGAAUGGAGCACAGCCUGCUGAAGGAGCCUCACUGCCAAGACAAAGUGGGCAGAGUGUUGCUGUGUGACCCUGUCUUAGCCAGCUUUUUGUUACUGAGACACAGUACCCGACAGCCACAACUUUAAAAGGGGGCAGGUUUACUUGGGCUGUGGUCAGUGACCCUGAGGCACAAAUGGUGUGGCAGAAGGGCCUGGGUGGAGAAGGAGAGGAGAGAACCAAGAAGGGAGUCACGGAGGCAGGGCCACCCGUCCAGGUCACACCCUGGGGACCUGCCAGCACAUCAGGCAUGGUGUCCUGUGCUCCGAUCGCCUUCCCGAGCCCUGUCUUGGAGUGGGUCAGGCUGCGGGGAUGACAUCUAGAUGUAAACCAUGGCAUCUGUGAGGAAAUGUCUUCAGUGGGCUGGUGGCAUCUGACCGGACGAGGUAUAACGGCACCGAGUGCCCAUGCUGUUUGCCAUAUCCUGUUACUAAGGGCACCAAGCUGCAGGGCCCAGGCUGUCCCAGGGCAGUUUGCACUUACGGAAGUGGCUCCGGUUUACUCAAAAUUAAGUGGGCUGAGAGCCUGUGACAAAGAAUAACCAAUUGAAAACAACAGUAAAAAAUAAAGUUUCCGGCAAACUUUAUGUGCCUUUCAGCCAUUUUUUAAACUUCCCAUGUUUUCUUAUUUAAAGUAUGAGGAUGAAUGGAAAUAUUUAUGAAUCCUAGGGCAGUUUUCUAAAUUUGAUAUGUUUCUUAGAAUUUUUCCAGAUUAGGGAAUAUUUUCCCAAAUUUGUUUAAAUCACACUUAUUCUCCUUGGC
RNAcentral lists this long non-coding RNA (1282 nucleotides) under Heterocephalus glaber (naked mole-rat). RNAcentral's name for it is "lncRNA (ENSHGLG00000035015.1)". The record is from RNAcentral. Lineage: Eukaryota; Metazoa; Chordata; Mammalia; Rodentia; Bathyergidae.